Molecule: ribosomal RNA, 253 nt
Filed under: uncultured bacterium
Lineage: Bacteria
Description: partial 16S ribosomal RNA
Rfam family: Bacterial small subunit ribosomal RNA
Source: RNAcentral
UACAGAGGUCUCAAGCGUUGUUCGGAUUCAUUGGGCGUAAAGAGCUCGUAGGCGGCUGCUCAAGUCGAAUGUGAAAACUCGAGGCUCAACCUCGAGCCUGCAUUCGAUACUGGGCGGCUAGAGUCUGGUAGGGGGAUCUGGAAUUCCUGGUGUAGCGGUGAAAUGCGCAGAUAUCAGGAGGAACACCGGUGGCGAAGGCGGAUCUCUGGGCCUUACCUGACGCUGAGGCGCGAAAGCUAGGGGAGCAAACAGG